This 1059-nucleotide long non-coding RNA is filed under the name Homo sapiens (human). RNAcentral's name for it is "long non-coding RNA NONHSAT177337.1". The record is from RNAcentral. Lineage: Eukaryota; Metazoa; Chordata; Mammalia; Primates; Hominidae.
CUGACAAACGGUUUAUAUCAGAAGGUGGAAUCGUGGGUAUGGUCGAUGUGGCAGGUCCUAAACAUAAAUUGGGUUUCUUUUUUAUUUUCAUUUAUUAAAUACAGAAGAAAUAUUUCGCUGAAGACACAGGAAACCCUAUUUUGUAUAAACGAGGGAUUGCAAGAGAUUGUUGGAAGAUCAAAGAUGGGUGAAUUGGAGGAACACAAAAAAAGCAAGAGAACCAAGGGUUGUGAAAUGCAAGAGCUGAGAUAUAAGUUCAGAGAAGGAAAAACUUAAGAACGACUAAAGCCACAUUUGAGGCUGCCGAGGGAUACUUUGUUCCAGGAAUCAGGCCACAUACAGAAAUACAGAGUGAAGAUGUGGGGAGAGGACUUAUGACAGAAUCAUAAUUAAGACGCAAUUCAUAAUUAAGACAUGAAUCUCGACAGAAGGAGUUGAUCCGGAAACUUUAUCCUGACUUGUAGAUGCUUCAAGUUGAGAGGUUCUGUAAAACACUUGGUAAAUAACAAAGGCUCCAGACAUUCAAAAGGAUAUUCGUAGAAUAGGAAUCUAAAAUACCAAACAGUAGAAAACACAGUAAGGAACAUUAACAAAAGAAGAAGCUGCCAAACACAUGUACUCUAAAAGUACAUAAUUCCAAUGUUGCUAUUUCUGAUGAGCCCUAAAUUCCUUUGGUUCGUACCUUGACAUUUAGAGUGUUUUUAGAUCUUCACCAAGCUCUAACGCUGAAAAGUUACUCUGACAUUUGCCGAGACCAGCUUGGUCGGGAAGACCCUAACCCAGCGGUGCUAGAGGAAUUAAAGACACACACACAGAAAUAUAGAGAUGUGGACUGGGAAAUCAGGGAUCUCACAGCCUUCAGAGCUGAGAGCCUCGAACAGAGAUUUACUCACGUAUUUAUUAACAGCAAGCCACUGAUAAGCAUUGUUUCUGUAGAUUAUAGAUUAACUAAAAGUAUUCCUUACAGGAAAUAAAGGGAGGAAACGGGAAGGCUGGAACCAUGUCCAGCUGGGAUAAGGCUUUCUUCCUGAGAACAAAAAGGAUUUAUGAAGGAAAAAG